RNAcentral lists this RNase P RNA (376 nucleotides) under Polyangiaceae bacterium. Its description in RNAcentral is "RNase P RNA component class A". It matches the Rfam family "Bacterial RNase P class A". Rfam says of the family: Ribonuclease P (RNase P) is a ubiquitous endoribonuclease, found in archaea, bacteria and eukarya as well as chloroplasts and mitochondria. Lineage: Bacteria; Pseudomonadati; Myxococcota; Polyangiales; Polyangiaceae. The record is from RNAcentral.
CGAGCAGAGCAGGUGAUCGCUCGCCCCCAGGGCGAGAGGAAAGUCCGGGCUCCACAGGGCAGGAUGCCGGGUAAUCCCCGGUGAGGGUGACCUCGAGGAAAGUGCAACAGAGAGCAGACCGCCCGCGCGGGCCACGUGCCCCGCGGGCAAGGGUGAAACGGUGGGGCAAGAGCCCACCGCGCGACCGGUGACGAUCGCGGCACGGCAAACCCCAUCCGGAGCAAGGCCACAUAGAGGGGCGUUCGAGGGCUGCCCGCCCGAGCCCCAGGGUAGGCCGCACGAGGCCCGCGGUGACGCGAGUCCCAGAGGAAUGAUCGCCACGCGCCCCCGAGCGAUCGGGGCCGCGACAGAACCCGGCUUACGCGGUGCUCGGGCC